This 211-nucleotide long non-coding RNA is filed under the name Lathyrus oleraceus (garden pea). Its description in RNAcentral is "Pisum sativum (pea) long non-coding RNA (PSAT_LNC030534)". The record is from RNAcentral. Lineage: Eukaryota; Viridiplantae; Streptophyta; Magnoliopsida; Fabales; Fabaceae.
UUGAACAUGGUGCCAAUUUGAUAUGUCAUGAUGAAUGCUUUGUGAAAUGCUAUGUGUUGAUCCAAUUGAUCUGAAAUUUGGUGUGUUUGAUCCUCACAUGUGAUAUGAUUUUUGAGCUUUGGUUUGAGAUUUUUAUCAUAUGCUAUCACUGUUUUGGACACAUGAUGAUGUAGUGUGACAAUUUGUGUCACAUUUUGGUAUUCAAUUUGUG